Musa acuminata AAA Group (dessert banana) is the source of this 5616-nucleotide RNA transcript. It is a transcript of the gene named chromatin modification-related protein eaf-1, with no coding region annotated. The transcript is spliced from 9 exons. The record is from RefSeq and is a predicted model, not a curated record. Lineage: Eukaryota; Viridiplantae; Streptophyta; Magnoliopsida; Zingiberales; Musaceae.
CUGCCCCCACAUCUCCACCGUCCUCUCCCUCUCUCGCUCGCUUCCACACUCCGCCCUGACAUCCACCCUUCGACUCCAAGAGGCGAAAUCGUGGCAUCCACGUAGCGGCAUCGGUUUACCCCCGCGGCCGGCCCUAAACCCUAGGCCCGGUUCUACUCCGUUCUCCGGGCUAGGCUUUUGGCCGUUCUUGAGAGUCAGGGUAUCUGAAUAGUGUCAAGUUCAGUUGGACUGAAGCUAGUUUCAUUAUGGGUUUUGAUAAUGAGUGUAUACUGAAUAUUCAGUCCCUUCCUGGUGAAUACUUCUGUCCUGUUUGCCGCACGCUUAUCUAUCCAAAUGAAGCUUUACAAUCUCAGUGCACCCAUCUAUACUGCAAACCAUGCUUAGCUUACAUCGUGGCUACUAGUCAAGCAUGCCCUUAUGAUGGAUACCUCGUGACUGAAGCAGACUCGAAGCCGCUGAUUGAAUCAAAUAAAGCACUUGCCGAGACCAUUGGUAAAGUGGCAGUUUACUGUCUCUAUUGUAGGAGUGGGUGUCAAUGGCAGGGAACAUUGUCCGAAUGUAUUGCACAUUGUACUGGUUGUGCCUUUGGAAAUUCACCUGUUGUAUGCAACAGGUGUGGUAUUCAAAUUAUACAUCGGCAAGUACAAGAACAUACACAGAUAUGUCCUGGUUUGCAACCUCAAGCUCAACAGGUAGACGGUGGUCAGGCUCAAGCUUCAACAACAUCAUCACAAGCUGUUUCCCAGGAUCCAAGUGUGGCUUCCUCAGCAGCUCCUGCAUCAACUGCUUCAGCAGCUAGUGCAACAACAACUUCUGCAGCUGUUGCAACUCCUGCUGCUUCUGCAGCUACUCCAACUGCGCUGCCUGCUGCCACUUCUGUAAUCAUGCCUGUUGUUUCCACUACUGCAACUACACUCCCUGCUGCUUCUCAAGGCCAAAGUCAAACGAAUUCAACCGGCAAUGCACAAGCUGCAGCACAGGUUCCAACGCCUCAUCAAUUGUACCAGCAACAACAAUUGCAAUACCAGCAGUACUAUCAGAUGUACCAUGGCUAUGACCCUUAUCAGCAGCAAUAUCAACAGAAUGCUCAAUAUCAGCAGCAACCCUACCCACAGUAUGCCCAAUCUCAGAUGCAAGUUGUCCCUCAGCUAGCAAUCCAAGGACAGCAGCAGACUUCUUCAUAUGUGCAGUCUCAACCUCAUCCCCAAGCUCAGCUUCAACCUCAAGCCCUGGCCCAGCCUCUAACCCAGCCCCAGCCACAGCCACAAGCACAGGUAGCUCAACUGCAACAGCAGCAGCAACAUUUGCCCCAGCCCCAGCCCCAGCCCCAGCCCCAGCCCCAAUCUCAACCCAGUGCCCAUCUUGUGCAAAUGCAGACACAACUGCCUCGUACACCUGUUCAGCAGCCUUACACGCAAGCGCGUCCACAAACUAAUCUGCCACCCCAAGCUCAAAUAGCAGGCCAACAAUUUGGUCAGCCACCCCAACCACAUCAAACCCAACAGUCUUAUCCUCGGACGCAACCACAGCAGCAGGUCCAGGCACCUCUAUAUCAACAUCCUCUGCAGCCACAUCAUCAUCCACAGUCCCUUCCUCAACAGCUGCCUCAUCUACAUGCUCAACCACAGGCUCGUCCUACCAGCCUUCAACAACCACCUAUGCUUCUGCAACCUCAUCCCCAGCAUCCUAGCGCUCAGCCCCAACCAAUGACACAACCACAGCAUCCAUCGGUUCAUGCGGUGACGGAACGCCAGUCGUACCAGCAGCCUCAAAUGCUCCAGCAGGACCAGCCUGGUGCCCAACCACAACAUCCCAUGCUUAUGCAUUCCCAGCAGCAAGGUGUUACCCAACAACAUCCUGUUCAAUUGCCAAACCAGUUUGCACCUCAACAGCCUCCUCGGAUGCCUCCUCCAACUGGGCAUAUCCCAAUGCAAGUCCAACAGCAACCAAUGCUACCCACACAAAGGCCUCCUGCAAGUCUUCAACCUCAGCAACAACCGCAUCUUACAGUUCAUCAGCAUGGACAACAACUGCACCAGUACACUGGUCUGCAUUCACAGGCACCUCAGCAGGGUUUGCCUCCUCAGCAAUCACAUGGCCAUUUGAAUUCUGGCCAGCAGAGUCAGCUGGGGAUGCUUGCAUCACAGCAGCAAUUGCAUCCUCAGGUUCCACCAUAUACGCAACAUCAUUUUCCUCCUCAUCUGCAGGCUCAGCAGAAUAUGCCUCUAUCUCAGGCUCUGACAACACAUCAAACACAGGCUGUAGCUGGCAGGCCUGUGAUGGUGAAUAAUGGCAUGCCACAUCAACUGAUUCAACAAUCUCCUAGAGGUCCAGGCAAGCUAGUACAACAUGUUCUGAAUCAACAAUCGCCAAGUCAGAGUCACUUGACCCAGCCAGGCAAUAAUUUGGCAGCAACAUAUGACUCACAAAGGUCUCAUCUCCCAAAACCUGGCAGCUAUGACAGCUCUAUACCUGUGUCUGCAUCACAUUCAGGGGUAGUAGAUAAAGUGGGCCAUGCCACUGAAUUGUCAACAGAAACAGCUGCCAAGAAUGCCGAAGGCAAUGAGCAGACUGAAAGAUCUGCAAUGGUUGAUCCAAAGAUUCUCAAAACAGAGUUGGAAACUGUUAAAGAAAAAGUUAGUGGCAAAGUUAAGGAAAAAGAUAUGCAACUGGAGGUAGAACCAACACUGGUUCGUGGAAGAAGCAUGGAUUCUCAUACCGAUAUGGAGCUUCCAGAAUCUAAGCAUGCGAUUAAGGAAGAAUUGGCUAACUUGCCGGAAGAUGGUAUUGAGACAUCACAUAUUUCUAAGGAUAGAGAUGUAGAAGGGGAAAUUCAGGGUGUAGAAGAGAAACCUGAUGUAAAUGCUGGUGUGCAGGUGGAAAUUCAAUGUGCAAAUUUGCCGUCUGAUGCUAGCUUGCAUUCCAUUUCUAGUGCAUUACCGAAGGAGUCAUCUGGCUUAAGUGAAGGUCAGACUGAUGGGGAAAUUGCUAGUAAAACUCAACCUCCUCAGCAACUGUCAGUUACUAGCAGUGAUGGAGGUCAGCUGCCACAACCAACCAAGCAACGUGUGACGCCAUCCUAUGAUGGAGCAUCUUUACAGCCUGGUUCUCAUGAGAAGAACUCGGCCUGGUUAGCUUGGCAAGGCUUGGGAUCAGGAAUGCCACAAGUUGUUGGCCCAGCAGGUUCUUCAUCUGAUAAGGAGGGCUUUCCACCACAACACAUACCCCACAGUCAUCCUUCAAAUGUGCCAGUCAUGACCCCCAGGUUUCCAGCACCUGACAAAAUAUUACCACUGCAAAUGUCACACCAAGGGGCGAUUCAUGAUAGAAGAUCCCAGGAAGCUCCAUACCAAAUGCAGGCACCUGGGCAAAACAUGAUAUUGAGCCAAAUGAGACCCCUGGAUCAUGGUUAUCCUGAACCUAUUCCUCGUCAGGUACAGCCUUCAAUUGUACAAGAGCCGCUUAGGCCUCCAAGUGGGCAACCAUAUGGUGGUGGUUAUCAUUCUGAUGCAAUGCAUGGUGGCCUUCCUGGUCCAGUCUUGCCCACCUCAGGUAGGGCUCCUGGACAUGCUGGAUUCCCUCAGCAAGGAUUUCCAGAACCGGUUAUAGCCCAGGGACAAAGUCAAAAUUAUUUGUCUGUGCCACAUGCUGGCACUACUAGAGUUCCACAUGGUGAGUCUUUAACACGAACAGCUCCAGUUGUGCCACUGACUGGCGCCUUUAAUACAUCUACUCAAAUGAUGCCAAGGGGACCUCCUUUUCAUCCUGAAGAUCGUGGAGUUCCCUCUCAUGUUGGAAAUCCCAAUAUCUUGGAAGCUGAAAUAUAUGACACCAGGAGGCCUGUUUUUCAAGAUGUCAGACAGACUGACCCACAUGUCGAGUCAAAUGUGAUUGCUAACGGGAUUCAAAGAAAGUUGAGAUUUGUUGGCAUGCAUGAUUCUCAUGGGCUGGCUGAAGGCAGACUAAAGCCUUUGCCAGAUGAAAGAUUCAGAUCAUUGCCGGGAGAUGGGAUGCCAAGGCCUUUUCCACUUGAACCUGGCAGGCACAAUGUAAGUGGCAGGGAGUUUGAAGAAGAUUUGAAACAAUUUCCUCGCCCGGCCCAUUUGGAUGGUGAAGGUUUCCAGAAGUUUGAUAGUUAUGGUUCUUCAACAAGGCUUCUUGAGAGGGGGCAGCAGCAUGUUGGUCCUGAUUCUAUACCAAGAUCUUCUAAUAUAUCUGUGCCUGGGCCUGAUGGAAUUCCUAGUGAAUUCCUUGCAACCCAAGUUGGUCCUUUCCAAGCUGGCAAUUCUGCUCCUUUUCCAGCCAGUAGGGCUGGUUCAGAGUUCCACAUGAUGAAUAUUUUGGAAAUGCGCAGGCCUGCUGGCUUCCAUGAGGACUUUGGUGCUGUUCCUGAUUUGCGUAGAUCGCUGCCUGGAUCUGGUCAUCGUCAUAUACAAAGUCCAGUAAAAAAUCUUGGUGGUCUUCCAUCUAGUAGGUUUGGAUCAGCUAGCCAGCCACACAUGGAGGAUAUUGAUCCCAAGGAGCUGCAUGGAUUUGCUGAACGAUCAAAAGCUUUUAACCUUCCUUCAGAUUCAACUGGCAGUUAUUUCCAUGAUAGCAAGAGUUCUAUGCCAGGGGCAUUGCCUGGUCGUUCUGCAAGAGGUGUUCCUGAUCGUCCUAGAAAUUUCCGGAUGGUGGAGCAACUUCGUUCAGGUAACUUUCCUGGCAGUACAAGAAAAGAUCUAGAUGGUCGUGAGAUCCCUCGCAUCCACAUGCACCCUGGUGAUCGCAGUUUUGGUGUCAAUUAUGGGCACGAUUUUCCAAAUGAGGCUGGAAUGUUUAGCACGAAAAGGAAGCCUGGGACGACGGGAUGGUGCCGCAUAUGCAGUGUCGACUGUGGAACAGUGGAGGGCUUGGAUUUUCAUGCACAGAGUCGGGAGCACCAAAGGAUGGCCAUAGAUAUGGUAUUGGCAAUUAAGAAGGAGAACAACAAAAAACACAGAAUAUCUGAGGGUGUCUUAUCCUUUGAAGACUCAAACAAAUCAAGAAAUUAUUUUGGAAGACAGUUGAAAUAAACAGUUGCUGCUGCAGCUGUCGAAAUGGGUUUUGAGCUGUAGUUGAAUCAGCAAGUGGAGAUUUGUUUCAGUCAUGAUGAACUUAUGAAACGAUCUUACUAGCUUACCUUGUGCAGUUUUGCAAGUCUUCCAGACUUCCGUAGCUUUGGUAGGCGGUGAUUGAGUUUGUCAUUUCAUUUUGGAGGGUGCUAUUAGGUUCAGGAAUCCAGUUGCUGAUAGAACUUUGGACUUUCAAUGUAAUAAUCUACCCUUCUACAUUCUCAGAUCUUUAUUGGUAGUGCAAUUCUCCUUUUAUCUCGUCAUUUUAAAUGCUUAGAUGACUCGUCUCACAGAAGUGCCUACUUACUGCUGGCUUUUUCCUAGUAUUGACAUGCUAGAUCCUAUGUAUUUAUCUGCGGCACCAAUUAGCUAUAUGAUAGUUGAUUCUUAGGUCUGCAUAAAUUUGUGGCGUUCAUUCAUGUGUACAUGUACAUAUUCUUGAAUAGUUGGACAAGGGGUCUUUAUUACCUAAACUUACAUUCCAGAAUGUUAAUAUGUCAAGUUAGUGUCCUCUUUUCUCUGA